UGAUGAACGAGCAAAGAAGGGAAUCUCUUGUCGAGCCGGCGAGCCUGCGUGUCCGCGGCGCUGACAUGAAGCACUUUGACCCACGACGAUCCAUUCCAUUUCAGCCGCUGA
RNAcentral lists this small nucleolar RNA (111 nucleotides) under Trypanosoma cruzi. Its description in RNAcentral is "C/D small nucleolar RNA (snoRNA), TB8C1C3". The record is from RNAcentral. Lineage: Eukaryota; Euglenozoa; Kinetoplastea; Trypanosomatida; Trypanosomatidae.